ACCAGCGGAGGGAUCAUUACUGAGUUAUUAAAACUCCAAACCCUUUGUGAACCUUACCGUCGUUGCCUCGGCGUGAGCUACGGCUACCCGGGAGCUACCCUGGAAGUACCCUAGAGUUACCCUAUAGCUACCCUGCAGCUACCCUAUACUUACCCUAUAGCUACCCUGCAGCUACCCUAUAGUUACCCUGGAGCUACCCUGGAGCUACCCUGUAGCCGGCUUAUGGCCCGCCGAAGGACAGCUAAACUCUUGUUUUUUACUACUGUUUCUCUGAAUUACAAACUGAAAUAAGUUAAAACUUUCAACAACGGAUCUCUUGGUUCUGGCAUCGAUGAAGAACGCAGCGAAAUGCGAUAAGUAAUGUGAAUUGCAGAAUUCAGUGAAUCAUCGAAUCUUUGAACGCACAUUGCGCCCAUUAGUAUUCUAGUGGGCAUGCCUAUUCGAGCGUCAUUUCGACCCCUAAGCCCCUGUUGCUUAGCGUUGGGAAUCUACAGCGUAGUUCCUCAAAAUUAGUGGCGGAGUUAGGGUACACUCUCAGCGUAGUAAUUUCUCUCGCUCGUGUGGUGGCCUUGGCUGCUAGCCGUUAAAACCCCUAUAAUUUCUAGUGGUUGACCUCGGAUUAGGUAGGAAUACCCGCUGAACUUAAGCAUAUCAAUAAGCGGAGGAAAAGAAACCAACAGGGAUUGCCUCAGUAACG
RNAcentral lists this ribosomal RNA (697 nucleotides) under uncultured fungus. RNAcentral describes it as "eukaryotic LSU rRNA". The stretch from base 297 to 450 matches the Rfam family "5.8S ribosomal RNA". Lineage: Eukaryota; Fungi. The record is from RNAcentral.